This 11764-nucleotide long non-coding RNA is filed under the name Gallus gallus (chicken). RNAcentral describes it as "lncRNA (ENSGALG00010010120.1)". The record is from RNAcentral. Lineage: Eukaryota; Metazoa; Chordata; Aves; Galliformes; Phasianidae.
GCGGCACGUUGGGCAGGUGGGGGAGUUUCACUGCAAAUCCCAAGAAAUAGGGUGAUUCCUGGGAAAGCUACAGGUGUGGAGGUCAUUUCAACCAACGUUUGAGAUCUAAGGCCACAAAGUAAACCUUCUAUAGAAGGAAUGCCUUUUGGAGAUAGCACAGAGAAAGAACAGAAAGAAUCCAGCAAUUUUACAGAUCUGGGAAAACUGUGCAGCUCUUUGAGUAUGACAUCUAAUUUACAGUCUGGAUGGCAAGAGAACUUAUGGAAGUGAGAGGAGGCAAAGAUGAAUUACAUUUGUAAUAUAUGUAUUAAAUUAAUGACUGGACUUGCAGAGAACUGCACUUACAGAACGAAGCCUACAGAGAGAUGCUUAUAUCCUCAGUAUUUUACAAUAAUUUAGCAAGAUCAGAGUAGGAUAUGAUUAUGACAUUUCCGAUGUCUGACUUGGGGAAAAGGUAAGGGUGGUUCCUCCGUUUUUGCUUGUACAUUGUUAGAUUGUUAUUUAUGCUUCUAACUUUCCAUACAGCAGAAACUUAUCUGCUAGUGUUUUGAAAUAUACAUUAAAGACUUGUAAUCAAAGAAAGCUAUUAAUUAUUAACUUUUCAUCUUUCCUAGCAGAUUCUUCUUUUUCUAAGUUUGAAAUGGCUAUUCUUUCUGAUAGGACCCCUCAAAGCUCUUGUGAACUAAGGCAAUGAAACCAGUUUGUGUCUUCAGUGAAGGUGGCUUCAGUCCACUUGAAGUUAUUGUGCCUCCAUGAUAACAAGAUCUGCAGUCUGUCAUUGACUGCAGUGAAGCCAAUGCCAAAAGUUGUUCAUCUUUUUGACAGAGCUCUCAGCAAUCAAAUUCACACCUGUGCAGCACAAGCUGGGAUUGUCAGCAGCUGUCUGAAAUCUGGCAUUACUUUUUGCCCAUUGGCCAUACCUGCUAGCUUUGAUGAAGGUUUCACUGUAAAAAUUGCUUGUAGCAAAUAUUUCUUCACUUGCUUGUUUCUGUUCCAGAAAUGGAUGCUGGAUUUCCAGUGUAAGCCUAUUACAUCUUUCACCCAUACACUAUCAUCAAGAUUUAAUCCUAAAACCUUCAGAUUCCAGUCCAGAUUACUUCUAUUUUUAUUACAGGAAGAAGUCCAUUUUUGGUAUAUGUGGGCCCGCUAUUGAAAAAGAAUACAACAUGUUCAUCAUCGUUUCAUGAACACAAAAAACAUAAUCAUGGCUUUCUUUAUGUUCCUGAAGUAUAGGCACAUUGCAGUAACUGCUGGACAAAGUGCAGAAGAAGCAGCUGAGAAUGCAUGGAGAGUUAGGCUAGUGCAUCAGCCUUUCAAUCACCUUUGUUUUGUUGAGGUGUUGUGGAAGACAUGCUGAAAAAAUAUCAGGGCUGCUGUUAACUGUCUGAAUUUAAAGAAGCACCUAAAUAUGGAGAAGUUCCCAACCAGUCAGAAUCUGGUUGUGUGCUUACUGGUCCCACCUAGGACCGGUCGUGCUCUCAUUUAUCAUUUCUGGCAAAAAUCUCCUCAUUGACACCUGAGGUGCAGCACUGCUCUCCUUGCCUCUUCUGCCAUUCUGUCUUACAGCUGCCUCACUGUGGGCAGAACUGGCACUCAGACUGGGAAUUUGGGCUUGUUCCUGGUCAGCCAUCCAGCACACACAGGGAAUAAGGCUGAGGAAACAACUGAGACUUACCUGCAGGGACAGCAGUGCAUGCAAACAGCCUGUCUUCAUCACUUCUGAGCUUUGAGUAUCUGUCUUCCCUGCUUUAAUAUUAAUUCUGUUGGUAUUUCUGUGGUUGGCUGUUUUUAUUGGUGGAUUUUAAGGAGAGAAAUUGCUUUCUUUGUUCCACCCUGCCCUAGGAGAGAGCAGCCAUCAGCAACAGCACCUACACCAAGCAUGGAGCCGUGGGCAGUGCAGAGACCACGCAGCUGAUGUUUAUGGAACUGCGUGUUUUUAAAGCGCUCAGUGUUUUAGAUACUAUAUUGCACCUCAGCCCCUCUUUUACUGUCCCAGCUUCCUAUGGAGAUUUGUGUCACACUCAGCAGACAAGUUCUUUACACCCAGUUGGGAUAUUCCAUGCAAUCUGCUUCCCUUUAGAAUAUGAAAGAAGCAUGUCUGUUUAAAGGCACCCCUCACUCUAUCUGCACGCACUGAAAUUGCAGUUUAUCCUUCUGCCCUGGCUGAACCCUGAGAGAUUGCACCUGAAUGUCAAUUCCUUCUCUACCUGCUGAUUUUCAAGACAUGUCCACCUACUGCAAUGCUAAAGCUGUUAUGAAAAAAAGGAGCAGAAAAAGCUGAAAAGAACAUACACCUAUUUUAUAAAAUAAAGAACUGAAAACAACAAAAAAUAAUGUUAAAAUUUCUAAUUUGCCAACUAAAGAUGCUGAUGGUAGCUAUAGGAGACGCAGGGGGCAGCAAUAAGAAUUUUGCCUGUCACAGUGCUAACAGAAAAGGCGGUUUUACAUGACUGUAGGCUUCUGAGUUACAGCUUGAAAUCAGUGUUCAUUUGACAGUAAAAAUAAAUAAAUCAGAUGAGAAUUUAGGAAGGGUAAUCCUUUGCACAGCUCUGCCAUAUCAGCCUCUUUUAAACACAGAAACGAUGCCACGUGUGCCCCGUGAGGUGCAGGACUCCACCUCCAGCCGUGGCGGCUGAGAUGCUGCCCGGAGGGAGUCUGCAGACACUGCAGCUGUGGGCAGCAGGCUGCCCUGCAGGGGGCACAGCCAGAGGGUUCUGGAUACUGGAAAGUAUAUCUUUGGUGAUUCCUUGUACUUGCCAAGUCCCCGACACUUGUGCUCUCCUGGCUAGCCAUCUGUUCUACAUUCUGAGAUUAUGAUUAUGUGUUAUUUCACUAACUUGUAACUUUUUCUGCCUUUUCUUUGAUUUUUUUAUUAUUAUUAUUUUUUUAUUUUUUAAUGCGGCAUAUAGUCAGGUCCUUUAAGUAUUUCCAUUAAGUGACUGAGAAAUGCUCCAAUAUUACUGGAGUUCCUGGUUCUUCCUUGAACUCUCCUGUGAUGGAUCCAGGUCAUAUAGAAAGCAUAUGACAGAGCUGUAAGUAGGAGCCAAGCCUUUUAACCUCCAGUGGACACACAAGACUGUCUGUUUUCAAAGGCAAUGUGCUGCUUGCUUAGUUACGUGGUACUGGAGGAAAAUACUUUAUUGCAAGCUGUUAAAACCAGGCCAGGCACAACUGUGCUGUGGUCGUGUGUCUGCUUUCACCAUUCUCGGAUAUAAACCUAUGCUCAACUUCACAAGCUGCUAUCCUACUGGAGGUAACUAAACACUUGCUACAGGAAUUCAAUGCAAACUCUUGAUGUACCUUAUGCUGCUUUUCUGCUGCCGACAAAAUAGAGGGGAUUACCACCUGACCUGCUCUUGUUCAAGAGCAUCUGUUGACUAUGAAUCACAAAGGGUCGAACUCUUUAGGAAUCCACCUCACCUCUUGAGAGCAAGUCAUUUCAGCAUCCUUCUGCAAACAGAACUGAUUAUUUCUCAGGCGUGAAUGAAACUGUGGGAGCCCUUUGCUAGAUGGCAAGUGCUAUUUUGAACCAGUCUUUCAUGGUGUUUUGUAAUAAUAUAGCAACCUGAUUCUCUGCAUUUAUUUAUGAAAGUAAAUGGAGGCUAGGAAUCAACUUUGGAAAGCUUUUGGUGCUAAUGCAGCAUUGCUUCUAGAAUGGUUACUUGUGUGAUACUUCUAACAAGAUGAAUCAGCAGAAGCACAAAAGGCAGCAUGCCAAAAUGUUUCCUGUCUUGUUCUGUUGGCUCUUAUGUGCAAAUUUCAUAAUAGCAGUAGAGAAGGCUGAUAUGACAACAGCUUUCAAAUAUGAAGAAGCUGCUGCCAAGGGGAAGGGAAUAAUCUCUUUUCUCUGUUUAAGAAGUAAUGGUUUAAAUAGCAGCUAGGUUAGAUCAGUUGCCCUGAACCUGGAGUUUGUAAACCCCUGGGGAUCUUUCGAAGGCUCUCUGGUCCAUCUGGCUCUAAGUGUUAGCAGACAGGGGCUUUUAACCAGUCCAGAGUAAUCAUUCAUUUUGUGAUAUUUUUAUAUGUAGAUUUUUGUUGUUAUCUCUAUGGACAAAGCUGAAUGUAUGGAGACAAGUUCCCAAGCAACCUAAUCCGAGUAGACUGGCUUUGAGGAGAAGGCUGAACUUGAUGACCUUUGGAGGUCCCUUCCACCCUAAAUUAUCAGUGAUUUUGUAUAACGUGUUUUCUGAGAGCUCAGAGAUGUCAUUUGGUUAUAGGGGAGAGGCCAAUUUUAGGCCUUCUUUGUGCGGUUUCCCCAGCAGUGCUGAGGUUGUGUGGCUCCUGGUGUGAGUCUGUGCAGUCCUACACAAGUUGCACUGACUUCUAAUGACUAUUUAGAUCCCCAUAAGCUGAGACUUAUAGAAUAUUAACUGGGCUAACCUCUUCCUCUGUUCUGUGACAGGGGCACAGUACCACAAGCGUAGCUUGACCUUGUACCUAGGAGUGCAUGUAAAAGAAAUGAAGACUCAAGACAAACAACAAAGACUAGGUGUCUUUAAGUUGAAAGAAUUAUCUGAGCCAAGAAAGGGCAUUUGAGGAGCUGGAAUACUUUCAUACCAGGCACAGAUAUAAUUCCAGCUCCAAAGAAAAGGUUUGAAUGUGAGUGUUGCAGGAAGAUAUUUGCACUGUUUCUAGGAAUUUAUUCUCUGGCAGCUAGGUGAGGAAGAAGAGGAAGUGUUAUUUAUUACAUAGCCAUCUGUAGUCCUUGACUGGAAUUCCACAUCUCCUAUUGCAUCACCAUUCUCUGUACCCACAAGGAAGAGGAAGCUACUGUCAGAACUUGGAGCAGCUGAAGUGUUAAGCAUUUCCUCCCACCUUACUUUGGUUUAUCCUUGAUGUUCCUUUGCUUGGUAUUUCGUGAUCCUGGUAUAGCCCUGGACAUAGAGACCUCUAGGACUUCAGUGGCAAGGUGAAACAAUAGCAUACCAAACUAUGGCAUAAGUUUGAGAAGAUUUUUUCAGGGACUGAAGCCACUGAUUAACUGAGCUGCUUUUUUUCUGCUGUCUGUCCUUUAUGUGCUUCUCUUUGGUUUAAAAGGGAGGAGGGGACAGUGGGCUUUAACAGCAGCUUCUGAAAUUGGCUUUCUUCUUUCUAGCAAGUACAGGUGAUACGUCUCCAAUAUCUCCUAAGAGCACAUUGAUCGUUUUCUAUUUGGAAGCUUUUAUAUAAUAACACUCUGUUACUGAAGACAAGCUCAGAUUUGUUUAUUGAGUCACCAUCUGCCAGAAGAGGGUCUCAGAUGUUCUCCAUGAUGACAAGAGUACAGAGCCAGUCCCACUGCACAUGGACCCCCCUGCUACCCAGAACCAGCUGGGGUUCUCUUUCCAAGCAUGACAUCUGAAGCACUGCUCAGUUUCUCAAGGACCCCAGCAAGGCAAAAAUGUCUCACACAAUAGGAAUGCAGAGAAAUGAUGGGUUGGAAUAAAUCAGGAAUUGACUUAGUUGUUCUCGUUUCAACCAGAUACAGAAAAGUUCCUCCAUGGGCAGUUAUUAGCAGCCUAUACACUAACAAAUGUUCUUCCUAGUGUUCUUGUUAAAAUUAAAAUAAAUAAAUAAUUGUUGUUUUAAAAUAGAUAACCUCCCAUGUUUAAAGCAAAAGUUCCAACCUUGUAAUCUUCCCUUCCUAGCUUUUAACUUGUGAUCUUUCACCUCCUUUAUACUGGUACCACUACUGCUCACCAGCUACAUCAGUGAGUUAUCUGGGUAAGAACUGGCAUGGGGUAACGUCAUGUGGGAGAUGGCAGGAAUGCCAAUGCUGGAGGAAGGCGGGAUGUCCCUCUUCCAUUCCUUGGUCAUUAUCCAGACAUAUUGGAUUAAAUCCAUGGUAAAACCUCAGCCUGGCAUUUGAUGAAGGGUGCAGGAUGUUCAGGAUCCACUGCUUUGGGAUGCAGGGACUGCAGGGUGGACUCAAACGGUUCUCAGUGAUCAAAGAUUGCAGUGUUAAAACCAACAGGCGACAUGACAGCCAUACAUCAUAUUAGCAAAAGAGCACUUCCAUGUGCUCUGCUGGGAGGCAAUGGUUCUGUGGGACACAUGCCAGGUGCUUCAAGAGCAUCCUGUAGCCAUAUAUCUGGCAGGGCAGGCAGAAGGAACGUGCUAAGCAGUAGCCUCACUCGCAGACUUCUGAAAUGACAAAUAUUCCUUAAAGGAGUCCAUUAAAAUAAAAUAAUGCCCUUUCAAUGUACAUAGGGAACAUAUAUAACAAAAUAUAUGAAGUACCUGUGUAUUUUCUCUAUUUGAUACCUGAAUCCAUGAGAAUAGGGGAUAAGGUACUUUCAGAACUGUAGAAUGGUAGAUAGUAGACAACAAAUUGUCUCAAAACACACUGAGAUAUGUUUGUAUUCCAAGUGAUGUGUGCCAGAUAUUGGGCAACAAAGUACGUGUUUUUGUGGAGAUGUGACCCAGCUGGUCUGUUGAGCCUUUGGUAAUGCACUUCAUGCUACUUGAGACUAUAUAGUGCUUCUAACCAUCCUCCCAGGGCAGUUUUCUCCUGCGACUCCACAGCCUUUGGGAGUUGCAUGGCCACAGCAAACAAGUGGAAGUAAGGAGCUUUCAUCCAACAGUGCCUGUUUUUCAAUCAACUCAAAAUCCACCAAAGUGCUUGAGUGGAAGGAGGACAGUCAGGAAAGCAAAAGAGUAUCUGGAGUUGUGAGUGCUGAAGUGUGCCUGGAGGCAGGGGUUAAAGGCAGCUGGAGGAGCAAAGAAACGCAGAGGGAAUAUGGAAUAGAAAAGUGCAUCAAAGCCUGGGUGAGUGAGUUAUGUCCUGAAGUGGUGUGUUUUGAUGGCCCGGUGUUGUUGAGCUAGUUGGAGAUGAGCACAGCACUGUACUCUUCAACAAAAGAGAUGAGAGUGGAUCAGGAGCAGACCUCUGUAUCCUGCUAACAGACUGGUCUAUGGAAGGGAGGCAAGCUCCUUGAUACAUGUAACCCUAAGCCAAGUGUGUUCCAUGGUUUUAGAAUUGUGGGUUAGGAGAACGAUAGAGUAACAGUAGCUAAAAUCACCCAGGUAAAGACAACUCUUCAGGGGUAAAUGAUGGCUGGUAUGGAGAGAUAAAAGAGCUGGACUGCAAGGAGAGAGGAGAACGGAGAACAGAGUUUUCAUUUCCAGCUCAGCUGGUCUUGUUGUAGUUUGAGCGCACGCUUAGGGUUUCUUGCUGUGCUCCAUAACUGGUGAAGCUGGGGGAGAUAGGAAGGGUCCCACCAGCACAGGAUGGUGCUGGAACAGAUGGAGCAGUCUGAUUCUUCCAUCAGGCUGGUGACAGUGCUCUCUGGAAGGUACCGUGCUCGCCUGUCGGGAUCCCUGAAGAUAAUAGGCUCUGUGCUCUCCAGAGAUGGACCGCUGCAAACGAGUCAUCUGGAACUAAUGGGUUUUGUGCCUUUGAUUGGACUGUGCUUUUCUGUAUACCUCCUUUGUCAGCCUAAAGGUCUGCUGAGAUCCAAACCAUGCUGUAAUUAUUUCCACACACAACAGCAAAGGUUGCUCUUUAAGCCGAAAUUUUGUCUGAUGUAUCUUCCCAGGAAAAUAAGCUUGAAUAAUUACUGGUUUUUAACAGUAAAAAGAUGUAACUUGUGUUUCGGAGGAUUAAAAUCUACAACCUUAUCUAAAUACAGAAAGAACAGCUGGCAAAAUGGAGUUUCUUUCUACAACUUAAACAGAAUCUGUCCUCCCCAAGCCUGGUUGGUUCUCAGCCUGCGUACACCUGUGUUAAUUUAAUAUGGUUCUUCAGUGGACGACGUUUGAGAGCAAGAAGGCACCAGUUCUGUCUCCUCUCUCUGUAUGGAUUCUCCCCUCGUUGUCUCAGCAGACAACACUUUGGCUUGCAGCCUUGGAGGAUGAUAUUUAGUACAGUGACUGUCGGAGGAGUGGGAUUUGUGGUGACUGGGAUUUUUGAAGCAGGUCUAAAUCCUGCUGGCUUGCAAAGAGAGUAAAUUCUAAAGGGUCACAAAUGCUGAUACCACUUGGGAGCUUCCGCCAUCUUACCAGACUUGAAACUGUGAGAACAGUUAUAGGAAUCAGCUUUGAAAUGACCAAAGGUAUCAGCUUGUCCUCCAUUAGAAAUAAUUUCUAGGCCUUGGGCUGCACCCAGAAAAAUAAAAAUAAUCUGAAGAGAUUUUAAUUAUAUCUCCACUAGUAAUAAAGCAGCUUUUUCCUCCAAAUUAAUAUGAUCGAUGUCUGUAUGCUAUUGAGAAAUGAGGGAUGUCCUUCUCAAAUAGUAUAAAGUGCACACUUUUGUCAGUUUCUUCUAAAAAUAAUAAUAAUAAUAAGAAGAAAGGGAUUGCUGUCUUUCUGGGCUAGAAACUAUUUGUUCCUCUUAAAAAGCCUUUAUAAGUGUGAGCUGUCUGCCGUCACUCAGAACAGGGAAGCUGGUGCCUGGAGUAUCUGCACCUUUCAUGUCUGUGAGGGAACGAAAGAGCUUUGUGCAGAGAGGAAUUUCAGUCUGAAUCACAGACUGUAGUUUUGUUGGAAAUGGAAGAGUAGAUGCAGUGAAAAACUGAAGAGGGAAGUGUCUCGAACUCCAAAAUUCCUGCACUUCCUAUUAAUAGAUCUGUGUUUAAAAUAAUGUGAAAAAGUAAAUCUCUCUAAGGCAUUGAAUCAUGUGCAUUCCCACGAGUGCUCAGCAUGUGUCUGUGCUCCACAUCUCUCAUCAGACACUGUCCCUCCCAUGUUGGCUCCAGGCUUGCACUGCAGCAGGAACCUCAGUGGCUUUGGGGAUUGAUAGCUGACCUGGUGGUUCAUGAAACAUUUGUGUUCUCCAUACUUUAUUAGUCACUGACAGACUCAUUGUUUAUAACAUACUUCUCAGCAAGCUGUUUGCGACUCAUCGCCCUGCUUGCUUUAUAGUCUAUAAAUAUUUAAUUCUUUAAUAAACAGCUUAUAUGUAAUAUCAAAUGACUGAUGCACUUCUUUCCACUCUUCAGCAGUGCUACUAUUUGCAAAACAAUCUAUUUUUUUUCUUUCUUUUUGAAUAUCAAUAUGUUUCAUAAAUUCUUGAAUUUCCUUUUCUAAACAGCCAUUUCUUCAGGGUGCUUGGUACAAUGACAAGCAGAGCAAUGGUUCCUGUGGCAUUAUAAUAGCUGCCCCUUUCUAAAGUCUCCAUGGGGAGAUUCACUUCACAGUGGUCACAGAUUUGCAAUCAGGAGUAGUUUGAAACAGCAGCAGUCAUAUUUCACAGCUGUGCAUGUUAAAGAGCAGCAGCAGCCUGCACGGCCAGAACAGCCCUGCAGAAGCUGUGUGAGAGCAUCCCUGGUAGUAUGCAGAGCAGUGUGGGCAUCUCAGAGUAUCACUGCCUCUUGCUGCGAGCUGCAUCACCACUCCUCUGCUUCACACACAUUGCUUAUAUGGUACAACCUGUGCUUCUUUUCCCAUCUGUAAUCUUCUUCCUGCUACCUAUAGAAAGAGUCGCUGAUGGGAUCCACUGCGCUGGGGUCAGAAAGCCAUUGGUAUGGGUGGGUGAGGCGGAGGUGAUCUGCUUGGGUCACUGCGGCUCAUGGCAGCAGCUCAGUGCCUUGCAGCAGACAGGCUCUAGGGUACUCUCUGAGGUCUGGCUGGCUGCCAUACCAGUUGCAUUUUGUCUGGAUGGUAACGUGUCUCAGUAGGGCCUUCAAGAGUGUUGUGUGGUCAUGGACGGGAUAUUCAUAUCUAACCCUAAGUCAGGCUGAUGGUCAGACUUCCCUUGUGCCUUGAAUUUUUGCACUUUUUCAACUUUGAGCAGAGAGAGGCUGGAUUUAGGAUUCCUGCCUAGAGGUGGUAUUGGUGUCCUGUUUUUGUUCGGAGCUGGCAGACUUGCCUUGUGCUCAGAUUCCCAGGUGGCUUUACAGAAGGGUGUGUGCGUGUGCAUUACAAAUGCAUCUGUGGAGAUGCAGGAAGGAACUUGAUUCGGAGAACUAAUAGAUGAGAUCAUAGUUAUGAAUCUUCAGGCAUUGGGCAGCAGUCCCUCUUUGCUAUGGGCCACUGCAUCCUCUGCCCAUUAGUCCUUAGAUGAGAGCCUUAUCCUUCUGUUCAAGGUUCUUGGUGCUCUUUUAGUGAUAGAGCCUGCUUGAAGACCUGGUAGCUGUUUGCUCAGGACUCCACAGCCUGCUUUGAACAGAUGCUCAUACCAUAUCCUUGUCAGACACUAUUAAAAGGCAGAGAAACAACCCCGGUCUGGCAGCUGGGGAUCUGCUCAGUAGUGUUUCUAGUUAUUGGCAGCAUCUGCAUGUGCCCACAGGAUGGAAGGAGAGGACAGCUCCUCUGAGAACAGGUCCCACCUGCAAGUCUUUAUUUUCCAUCCUGCCUGUUCUCUUCUUGUGUUUAAAGCCAUGGUCCUUCUCUGGAGAUAAGGCUGGCAGCAGUAUGAGCCUUUCUUACACCAUGGGCGUUGUAGAGGCUGAUUCAGGAUCUGUGCACAGCGGGCACACAAGCAGGUUUUUCUAAUGUCCUUCGCUAAUGUCACUACGCUGCAAUGAGGGCGUUGCUGUUCUGUGAUGGCCCAUUAAAUCUUUGUUAACCCUAAGUACAUACAAGACCCUGAUCCAAAAAAGCAUUCCUAGCAGAGCACAGAGCAGCCAAGAGGUUCUUCUCCAUACACACACAUUUGUGUGUUAAAAAUAUCAAGUGAUAACAAUUCCCGUUCUGAGGAAGAAGCAGGUGAGAGAGGAUCACAGAAUCACAGAAUGGCUUAGACUGGAAGGGACCUUAAAGAUCACGUAGUCCCAAUGCACCUGCUGUGGGCAGAUCAGGGCUUCACCACCUCUGGGUAGAAAUUUUUUUCCCAACAGCUGAUCUAACUCUCCACUCUUUUAGUUUAAAGCCAUUCACCAUUGUCCUACCACUCUCCUGUUGAUAAGCUCCCCUCAAGUACUAGGAGGUUGCAAUGAGGUCUCCCCAGUCUUCUUUUCUCCAGCCUGAAGAAGCAUUGUUCCCACAGCCUAUCUUCAUAGGAGACAUUCUCCAUCCUCUGAUAAUCUUUGUGGCCCUCCUCUGAAGCUGCUCCAACAGUUCCACAUCCUUCUUGUGCUGGGAGCCCCAGGCCUGUAUACAGUGCUCCAGAUGGGGUCCCACAAGAGCAGAGCGGAGGGGACAAUCCCCUCCCUGCCCCACUGCCAUUCCUCUGCUGAUACAGCCCAGGAACCAGGAAUCACUAUCUGCCAGGUCUGUCCCACCUUCAGUAUCCUGGUGGCACAUGUGGCUGGGAGCAGCCCACUCCCAGACUGUCAUCCCUGUGCUGGAGGCACAGAGCAGUGGGCAGGGCAUGGGCACUGCAUCACUUGUACUGUCCCUGAAGCAAUGCACAGAAGCCUGCCUUGAGCCAGCAACAGCAUCUAAACACUAACACGCACUGCCGUGUUGUCACUUUACCCACAAGGCUGUCAUUGAGCUCCUCCUUUGUUACUGAAGCAUGGCACUUAACACAUUCUCCCUCCAGUUCCUCUUCCUGUCCCCCUCCCACCGUGUAUAUCACUGAAAUUUCUGAAUGGAAGCAGGGAAUGGUGUAGGCACUGAGCUCCUGGUCCUCAAAGAGUCUCCAGGCAGUGAGCAUGACUGGUGCCCCAGCUUAAGUAUGAGUAAUGAUAAAUAAGUAAAUCACGCAGUGGGCUGUGCUAUUCCCUAAUGAGCCUGUUUGUCCCAAGCGCUGUGCAGAAAACACUCUUCUCCUUGGCAAUAACCUUUCUGCAUAUUAACAUUAUGCAUGUAUUCAUGUGACUUCCUCUGCUUCACCACCACCUCCUUCAACUGAUUUAAAUAAAAAUAAUUUAUGUGGACAUUCCUUCAGUCAGGAUUCCCC